This is a long non-coding RNA of Pieris rapae (cabbage white), 640 nucleotides long. RefSeq lists it as uncharacterized. The transcript has 5 exons. The record is from RefSeq and is a predicted model, not a curated record. NCBI's taxonomy places the organism in Eukaryota, Metazoa, Arthropoda, Insecta, Lepidoptera, Pieridae.
UUGACAUUGACAUUUUUAUUCUUAAUUCACACGGCGGUUGGUAAUGCCACUGAACUGGAGCAAAGAGGUUUAUUGAACAAAAUUCGGGACGAAAUCGCCGACUCUGUUUUAUAUUUAACGCAAUUGUUAGAAAGAUUUAAUAAUGAAUAUUUUGCUAAAACUGCAUUUGGUAAAUACAUUAAUUAUGACCAAAUUAAACCCAGAUUGUACUCAACGGGGUUAGAAGAAUCCCGUGGUAUGAAGAAAAUGGCUAUGGGAAUGAUGCCACUGAUCUUCCACGUAGGGGCCACGUCGACCUGGAUGAUAUUGACUACGAUUCUAGCGGCGAAAUCCGUGUUUAUUGGUAUCAUCUUACUCGUGUGCAAGAUUGCUGUUAGUGCAGCUAAGGUCGGAUCAUUCUUCACAACCUUAAAAGCACAUUCUAGUCACGGUCAUCAUCACGAGUGGGCGUGGUCGCCACCGCAUGAGCAUCAUGGAUAUAGAAGUUUAAAUGGAAUCAGUGGGUAAUAUAAAUACAGAUAUUGGCUCACCAGGUCCCAUUUAUGAAUCGGGUCACGGCUGGGGCGAAACGUCAUACAAAUCCAUACCCACUGAAUAUUUGGAGCAUCAAGUCGAUAAAAAAUCAAGAAUAGGAUAAAAU